UACGUAGGGUGCGAGCGUUAAUCGGAAUUACUGGGCGUAAAGCGUGCGCAGGCGGUUUUGUAAGCCAGAUGUGAAAGCCCCGGGCUUAACCUGGGAAUGGCAUUUGGGACUGCAAGGCUGGAGUGUGGCAGAGGAGACUGGAAUUCCUGGGUGUAGCGGUGAAAUGCGCAGAUAUCAGGAGGAACAUCCGUGGCGAAGGCGGCUCUCGUGGGACGGUACUGACGCUGAGACGGCGAAAGCGUGGGGAGCGAACAGG
RNAcentral lists this ribosomal RNA (256 nucleotides) under uncultured bacterium. RNAcentral's name for it is "partial 16S ribosomal RNA". It matches the Rfam family "Bacterial small subunit ribosomal RNA", at positions 524 to 776 of the family's 1533-position model. The record is from RNAcentral.